AAGUCGUAACAAGGUUUCCGUAGGUCAGUAAAACCCCUAGGAAUUCUCUUAACAUCUAUCUCGAAACGUAUGCUAACAUAUUCUUGUAGGUGAACCUGCGGAAGGAUCAUUACUGAGAUAGGGUCCUUCGGGGCCCGAACCUCCAACCCUAAAUCUACAAUACUCUGUUGCUUCGGGGAGGUCAACCCUCUGGCCUCACGGUCUCGGGCGCUCCCCAGAAGAAUCAACCAAAAAACCCUUGAAAAAAUGAGCAUCUGAGCCGAAUUUUUAAUAUUCAAAA
This 280-nucleotide unclassified non-coding RNA is filed under the name plant metagenome. Its description in RNAcentral is "partial contains small subunit ribosomal RNA and internal transcribed spacer 1". The record is from RNAcentral.